Molecule: ribosomal RNA, 253 nt
Filed under: uncultured bacterium
Lineage: Bacteria
Description: partial 16S ribosomal RNA
Rfam family: Bacterial small subunit ribosomal RNA
Source: RNAcentral
UACGAAGGGUGCUAGCGUUGUUCGGAAUGACUGGGCGUAAAGGGUGCGUAGGCGGCCGAAUGCGUCUGAUGUGAAAUCCCUGGGCUUAACCUAGGAACUGCAUUGGAUACGGUUUGGCUAGAGACCGAUAGAGGAAGAUGGAAUUGUGCGUGUAGAGGUGAAAUUCGUAGAUAUGCACAAGAACACCGGUGGCGAAGGCGAUCUUCUGGAGCGGUACUGACGCUAAGGCACGAAAGCGUGGGGAGCAAACAGG